GAUGAAGAACGCAGCGAAAUGCGAUAAGUAGUGUGAAUUGCAGAAUUCAGUGAAUCAUCGAAUCUUUGAACGCACAUUGCGCCCCUUGGUAUCCCGAGGGGCAUGCCUGUUCGAGCGUCAUUUCACCACUCAAGCCUGGCUUGGUGUUGGGCGACGUCCCCUUUGGGGACGCGCCUCGAAACGCUCGGCGGCGUGGCACCGGCUUUAAGCGUAGCAGAAUCUUUCGCUUUGGAAGUCGGGGCCCCGUCUGCCGGAAGACCUACUCGCAAGGUUGACCUCGGAUCAGGCAGGGAUACCCGCUGAACUUAAGCAUAUCAAUAAGCGGAAGA
This 329-nucleotide unclassified non-coding RNA is filed under the name soil metagenome. RNAcentral's name for it is "partial contains 5.8S ribosomal RNA, internal transcribed spacer 2, and large subunit ribosomal RNA". The stretch from base 1 to 120 matches the Rfam family "5.8S ribosomal RNA", at positions 35 to 154 of the family's 154-position model. The record is from RNAcentral.